RNAcentral lists this ribosomal RNA (448 nucleotides) under uncultured bacterium. RNAcentral describes it as "bacterial SSU rRNA". It matches the Rfam family "Bacterial small subunit ribosomal RNA", at positions 330 to 792 of the family's 1533-position model. The record is from RNAcentral.
GCCAGACUCCUACGGGAGGCAGCAGUGGGGAAUAUUGGACAAUGGGGGGAACCCUGAUCCAGCGACGCCGCGUGAGUGAAGAAGUAUUUCGGUAUGUAAAGCUCUAUCAGCAGGGAAGAAAGAAAUGACGGUACCUGACUAAGAAGCCCCGGCUAACUACGUGCCAGCAGCCGCGGUAAUACGUAGGGGGCAAGCGUUAUCCGGAUUUACUGGGUGUAAAGGGAGCGUAGGCGGCGUGCCAAGUCUGAUGUGAAAUACCGGGGCUCAACCCCGGGGCUGCAUUGGAAACUGGCAGGCUGGAGUGCCGGAGAGGCAGGCGGAAUUCCUGGUGUAGCGGUGAAAUGCGUAGAUAUACGGAGGAACACCAGUGGCGAAGGCGGAUUGCUGGACAGUAACUGACGCUGAGGCGCGAAAGCGUGGGGAGCAAACAGGAUUAGAUACCCGUGUA